This 715-nucleotide ribosomal RNA is filed under the name uncultured fungus. Its description in RNAcentral is "SSU rRNA". It matches the Rfam family "Eukaryotic small subunit ribosomal RNA", at positions 338 to 1059 of the family's 1831-position model. Lineage: Eukaryota; Fungi. The record is from RNAcentral.
GGCCUACCAUGGUUUUAACGGGUAACGGGGAAUUAGGGUUCGAUUCCGGAGAGGGAGCCUGAGAAACGGCUACCACAUCCAAGGAAGGCAGCAGGCGCGCAAAUUACCCAAUCCCGACACGGGGAGGUAGUGACAAUAAAUAACAAUACAGGGCUUUCUAGUCUUGUAAUUGGAAUGAGUACAACUUAAAUCCCUUAACGAGGAACAAUUGGAGGGCAAGUCUGGUGCCAGCAGCCGCGGUAAUUCCAGCUCCAAUAGCGUAUAUUAAAGUUGUUGCAGUUAAAAAGCUCGUAGUUGAACUUUAGGCCCGGUUGGAUGGUCUGCUCUAGGGUUUGUACUGUCCUGACUGGGUCUUACCUUCUGGUGAGCUGUCGUGUUGUUUACUCAGUGCGGCAGGGAACCAGGACUUUUACUUUGAACAAAUUGGAGUGUUUCACGCGGGCAUUUGCUUGAAUACAUUAGCAUGGAAUAAUGAAAUAGGACGUUCGAUCUUAUUUUGUUGGUUUCUAGGAUUGACGUAAUGAUUAAUAGGGAUAGUUGGGGGCAUUAGUAUUCAAUUGUCAGAGGUGAAAUUCUUGGAUUUAUUGAAGACUAACUACUGCGAAAGCAUUUGCCAAGGAUGUUUUCAUUAAUCAAGAACGAAAGUUAGGGGAUCGAAGACGAUCAGAUACCGUCGUAGUCUUAACCAUAAACUAUGCCGACUAGGGAUCGGAUG